UUAAAGUUUAGUGACUAAAUGUUAAAACUUUAAUCGCUAUUGAGUUUUAAAGUGGAAAAUGCAUAAUGACUUAAUUAGCAAUUAUCCAAACGACCUAAAUGGUUAAUAAACCAUUGUUUUGUAUGAGAUAGUGGAAAAUGAUUAUGAUAACCACAUAGUUUUCACAAAAAACCAUGAAAUGUCCCUCAACCUUUAAAAGUUUU
This 203-nucleotide long non-coding RNA is filed under the name Gossypium raimondii (Peruvian cotton). RNAcentral describes it as "long non-coding RNA (GRAI_LNC010366)". Lineage: Eukaryota; Viridiplantae; Streptophyta; Magnoliopsida; Malvales; Malvaceae. The record is from RNAcentral.